RNAcentral lists this long non-coding RNA (251 nucleotides) under Panicum hallii. Its description in RNAcentral is "long non-coding RNA (PHAL_LNC000799)". Lineage: Eukaryota; Viridiplantae; Streptophyta; Magnoliopsida; Poales; Poaceae. The record is from RNAcentral.
AUGUUGUAGAGUUUGAAAAACUCUCCAACUUUCAUUUUGGGCAUUUCUUCAUUAGGGUUUUAUAUCAACGGGAAAUUUUGUUUUACAUACAGGCCCUUGCAGUUUUCUGUAUUUACGUAUAGGUCCUUGGAGAAAACUGUUCAUCCUUCUCCUCUGUUCCCUUAUCUCUGGCGCCCUUAUCUUCUUUUCCACCGGUGGCAGCAGCACCAAAACCCAUCUUUUCUUCCUCUGUUCUUCUUCCCGUUGACCCC